RNAcentral lists this ribosomal RNA (445 nucleotides) under uncultured bacterium. RNAcentral's name for it is "SSU rRNA". It matches the Rfam family "Bacterial small subunit ribosomal RNA", at positions 26 to 518 of the family's 1533-position model. The record is from RNAcentral.
AGAACGAACGCUGGCGGCAUGCCUAACACAUGCAAGUCGAACGAGACCUUCGGGUCUAGUGGCGCACGGGUGCGUAACGCGUGGGAAUCUGCCCUUAGGUACGGAAUAACAGUGAGAAAUUACUGCUAAUACCGUAUGAUGUCUUCGGACCAAAGAUUUAUCGCCUAGGGAUGAGCCCGCGUUGGAUUAGCUAGUUGGUGGGGUAAAGGCCUACCAAGGCGACGAUCCAUAGCUGGUCUGAGAGGAUGAUCAGCCACACUGGGACUGAGACACGGCCCAGACUCCUACGGGAGGCAGCAGUGGGGAAUAUUGGACAAUGGGCGAAAGCCUGAUCCAGCAAUGCCGCGUGAGUGAAGAAGGCCUUAGGGUUGUAAAGCUCUUUUACCGGGAAGAUAAUGACUGUACCGGGAGAAUAAGCCCCGGCUAACUCCGCGCCAGCAGCCGC